CGUCAAGGACUAGGCUGUGUCCUAAUGCAAGAGCGCAAAGUGGUUGCUUAUGCCUCUCGGCAAUUGCGCCCUCACGAAGAGAACUACCCAGUUCACGACCUCGAACUUGCUGCUGUCAUUCAUGCGCUAAAACAGUGGCGACAUUACCUACUCGGUAAUCGUUGCGAGAUCUUCACUGACCACCAAAGUCUGAAGUAUCUGUUUACUCAGCCAGACCUGAACCUCCGUCAGCAGAGAUGGAUGGAGACUGUUGCAGACUUUGAUUUGGGUAUUUCCUAUACCCCAGGCAAGGCUAAUGUAAUGGCUGAUGCCUUGAGCCGCAAGUCUUAC
RNAcentral lists this ribosomal RNA (330 nucleotides) under Triticum aestivum (bread wheat). RNAcentral's name for it is "partial small subunit ribosomal RNA". Lineage: Eukaryota; Viridiplantae; Streptophyta; Magnoliopsida; Poales; Poaceae. The record is from RNAcentral.